This 523-nucleotide ribosomal RNA is filed under the name uncultured Glomeromycotina. RNAcentral describes it as "SSU rRNA". It matches the Rfam family "Eukaryotic small subunit ribosomal RNA", at positions 548 to 1075 of the family's 1831-position model. The record is from RNAcentral. Lineage: Eukaryota; Fungi; Glomeromycota.
UUGGAGGGCAAGUCUGGUGCCAGCAGCCGCGGUAAUUCCAGCUCCAAUAGCGUAUAUUAAAGUUGUUGCAGUUAAAAAGCUCGUAGUUGAAUUUCGGGAUCAAUACGUCGGUCGUGCCUUGGUACGUACUGGCAUUAUUGAUUUCUCCCUUCUGAAGAACCACGAUGUCAUUAAUUUGGUGUCUUGGGGAAUCAGGACUGUUACUUUGAAAAAAUUAGAGUGUUUAAAGCAGGCUCACGCUUGAAUACAUUAGCAUGGAAUAAUGAAAUAGGACGUUCGAUCCUAUUUUGUUGGUUUCUAGGAUUGACGUAAUGAUUAAUAGGGAUAGUUGGGGGCAUUAGUAUUCAAUUGUCAGAGGUGAAAUUCUUGGAUUUAUUGAAGACUAACUACUGCGAAAGCAUUUGCCAAGGAUGUUUUCAUUAAUCAAGAACGAAAGUUAGGGGAUCGAAGACGAUCAGAUACCGUCGUAGUCUUAACCAUAAACUAUGCCGACUAGGGGAUCGGAUGAUGUUAAUUUUUAAUG